This 506-nucleotide ribosomal RNA is filed under the name uncultured bacterium. RNAcentral's name for it is "partial 16S ribosomal RNA". It matches the Rfam family "Bacterial small subunit ribosomal RNA", at positions 30 to 523 of the family's 1533-position model. The record is from RNAcentral.
AUUGAACGCUAGCGGCAUGCUUAACACAUGCAAGUCGAACGGCAGCGCGGUUGUGGUAACACAACUGGCGGCGAGUGGCGGACGGGUGAGUAAUGUGUAGGAAUCUGCCUUGAGGAGGGGGAUAACUUGGGGAAACUCAAGCUAAUACCACAUAAGCCCUACGGGGGAAAGCUUGGGACCGAAAGGCCAGGCGCCUUAAGAUGAGCCUACAUCGGAUUAGCUAGUUGGUGGGGUAAAGGCCUACCAAGGCGAUGAUCCGUAGCUGGUCUGAGAGGAUGAUCAGCCACACUGGGACUGAGACACGGCCCAGACUCCUACGGGAGGCAGCAGUGGGGAAUAUUGGACAAUGGGCGAAAGCCUGAUCCAGCAAUGCCGCGUGUGUGAAGAAGGCCUUCGGGUUGUAAAGCACUUUCAGUUGGGAGGAAGGGGAUGAUGUUAAUAGCAUUGUUCAUUGACGUUACCGACAGAAGAAGCACCGGCUAACUCUGUGCCAGCAGCCGCAGUAA